Molecule: ribosomal RNA, 253 nt
Filed under: uncultured bacterium
Lineage: Bacteria
Description: partial 16S ribosomal RNA
Rfam family: Bacterial small subunit ribosomal RNA
Source: RNAcentral
UACGUAGGGUGCAAGCGUUGUCCGGAAUUAUUGGGCGUAAAGAGCUCGUAGGCGGUCUGUUGCGUCGGCUGUGAAAACCCGGGGCUCAACCCCGGGCCUGCAGCCGAUACGGGCAGACUAGAGUUCGGCAGGGGAGAACGGAAUCCCUGGUGUAGCGGUGAAAUGCGCAGAUAUCAGGAGGAACACCGGUGGCGAAGGCGGUUCUCUGGGCAUGAUCUGACGCUGAGGAGCGAAAGUGUGGGGAGCGAACAGG